This 492-nucleotide ribosomal RNA is filed under the name uncultured bacterium. RNAcentral describes it as "partial 16S ribosomal RNA". It matches the Rfam family "Bacterial small subunit ribosomal RNA", at positions 29 to 507 of the family's 1533-position model. The record is from RNAcentral.
AGUGAACGCUGGCGGUAGGCCUAACACGUGCAAGUCGAACGGCAGCACAGUAAGAGCUUGCUCUUACGGGUGGCGAGUGGCGGACGGGUGAGGAAUACAUCGGAAUCUACUUUUUCGUGGGGGAUAACGUAGGGAAACUUACGCUAAUACCGCAUACGACCUACGGGUGAAAGCAGGGGAUCUUCGGACCUUGCGCGAUUGAAUGAGCCGAUGUCGGAUUAGCUAGUUGGCGGGGUAAAGGCCCACCAAGGCGACGAUCCGUAGCUGGUCUGAGAGGAUGAUCAGCCACACUGGAACUGAGACACGGUCCAGACUCCUAAGGGAGGCAGCAGUGGGGAAUAUUGGACAAUGGGAGCAAGCCUGAUCCAGCCAUACCGCGUGGGUGAAGAAGGCCUUCGGGUUGUAAAGCCCUUUUGUUGGGAAAGAAAAGCAGCAGGUUAAUACCCCGCUGUUCUGACGGUACCCAAAGAAUAAGCACCGGCUAACUUCGUG